RNAcentral lists this non-coding RNA (21 nucleotides) under Caenorhabditis elegans. The record is from RNAcentral. Lineage: Eukaryota; Metazoa; Nematoda; Chromadorea; Rhabditida; Rhabditidae.
UGUCGGGGAAUGAAUUGACGG